GUGGGCCUGGUGCAAUGGCAGCACGUCAGCUUGUGGAGCUGAAGGCAACGGUUCGAUCCCGUUGACCCACCCCA
Molecule: transfer RNA, 74 nt
Filed under: Flavobacteriales bacterium
Lineage: Bacteria; Pseudomonadati; Bacteroidota; Flavobacteriia; Flavobacteriales
Description: tRNA-His
Rfam family: tRNA
About the family: Transfer RNA (tRNA) molecules are approximately 80 nucleotides in length.
Source: RNAcentral